RNAcentral lists this ribosomal RNA (253 nucleotides) under uncultured bacterium. RNAcentral describes it as "partial 16S ribosomal RNA". It matches the Rfam family "Bacterial small subunit ribosomal RNA", at positions 524 to 776 of the family's 1533-position model. The record is from RNAcentral.
UACGUAGGGUGCAAGCGUUAAUCGGAAUUACUGGGCGUAAAGCGUGCGCAGGCGGCUAUGCAAGACAGAUGUGAAAUCCCCGGGCUCAACCUGGGAACUGCAUUUGUGACUGCAUGGCUAGAGUACGGCAGAGGGGGAUGGAAUUCCGCGUGUAGCAGUGAAAUGCGUAGAUAUGCGGAGGAACCCCGAUGGCGAAGGCAAUCCCCUGGGCCUGUACUGACGCUCAUGCACGAAAGCGUGGGGAGCAAACAGG